This 254-nucleotide ribosomal RNA is filed under the name uncultured bacterium. RNAcentral's name for it is "partial 16S ribosomal RNA". It matches the Rfam family "Bacterial small subunit ribosomal RNA", at positions 524 to 776 of the family's 1533-position model. The record is from RNAcentral.
UACGUAGGGGGCGAGCGUUGUCCGGAUUUAUUGGGCGUAAAGAGCUCGUAGGCGGUUCGAUAAGUCGGACGUGAAAUCUCCACGCUCAACGUGGAGGGGCCGUUCGAUACUGUCGUGACUCGAGUCCGGUAGGGGAGUGUGGAAUUCCCGGUGUAGCGGUGAAAUGCGCAGAGAUCGGGAGGAACACCCGUAGCGAAGGCGGCACUCUGGGCCGGUACUGACGCUCAGGCACGAAAGCGUGGGGAGCAAACAGG